CCUUAGCUCAGUUGGUAGAGCAACUGACUUUUAAUCAGUAGGUCGAAGGUUCGAAUCCUUCAGG
Molecule: transfer RNA, 64 nt
Filed under: Emcibacter nanhaiensis
Lineage: Bacteria; Pseudomonadati; Pseudomonadota; Alphaproteobacteria; Emcibacterales; Emcibacteraceae
Also listed under: 2 other names
Rfam family: tRNA
About the family: Transfer RNA (tRNA) molecules are approximately 80 nucleotides in length.
Source: RNAcentral